CUCUAUCUCAAGACAAAGUUAGACGUCUUUUUAGCACAUAACACAGAAGAGAAGGUGUGUGAUUUCAAGGUGAAAGGGAGUUUUUUCGAACGAUCAUGUGUCAUUUAUAAAGGAGACGAAGACUCUGCCACAAUCGUCGCACAGAUGCAAAAAAAGCACACGGCUCAAAGUAUAUUGUUAGGGAAGGACAAGUUCAUGGUGACAGUGUUUCCCAAAAUGGAUUAUGCGUUCAUAGUUGCGCUUAUUGUGAUUCUUGACGACAUCAAUCAUGAGGCACAGGAAUGAAUCAUGAUUCAGAAAUUCAGAUGAUAUAGGCACACUGGGGCUUUGCUUUAUUAAUGUUUUUAUGCAAAUCACUGGAUAAGUGAUUGCCAUGCAGG
RNAcentral lists this unclassified non-coding RNA (380 nucleotides) under Hevea brasiliensis (rubber tree). Lineage: Eukaryota; Viridiplantae; Streptophyta; Magnoliopsida; Malpighiales; Euphorbiaceae. The record is from RNAcentral.